This 488-nucleotide ribosomal RNA is filed under the name uncultured bacterium. RNAcentral's name for it is "partial 16S ribosomal RNA". It matches the Rfam family "Bacterial small subunit ribosomal RNA", at positions 29 to 523 of the family's 1533-position model. The record is from RNAcentral.
AAUGAACGUUGGCGGCGUGGAUUAGGCAUGCAAGUCGAGCGCGAUCAGUUUGGUGCUUGCAUUAAACUGUGAAAGCGGCGAAAGGGAGAGUAACGCGUAGUUACCUACCUCAGGGUACAGAAUAGCUACGGGAAACUGUGGGUAAUGCUGAAUAACAUCUCCGGAUCAAAGGUGUGAUUCCGCCCUGAGAGGGGACUGCGUCCUACUAGCUUGUUGGUGGGGUAAUGGCCUACCAAGGCGUUGAUGGGUAGCGGGUGUGAGAGCAUGACCCGUCUCACUGGGACUGAGACACUGCCCAGACACCUACGGGUGGCUGCAGUCGAGAAUCUUCGGCAAUGCGCGAAAGCGUGACCGAGCGACGCCGCGUGCGGGAUGAAGGCCCUCGGGUUGUAAACCGCUGUCGUAGGGGAGGAAGGCUCCAUGAAGAAUGGGGUUUGACCUAUCCUAGGAGGAAGGACGGGCUAAGUUCGUGCCAGCCGCCGCAGUAA